AACGAACGCUGGCGGCAUGCCUAACACAUGCAAGUCGAACGAGACCUUCGGGUCUAGUGGCGCACGGGUGCGUAACGCGUGGGAACCUGCCCUUAGGUUCGGAAUAACUCCCCGAAAGGGGUGCUAAUACCGGAUAAUGUCUUCGGACCAAAGAUUUAUCGCCUUUGGUUGGGCCCACGUUGGAUUAGCUAGUUGGUAGGGUAAAAGCCUACCAAGGCGACGAUCCAUAGCUGGGCUGAGAGGAUGAUCAGCCACACUGGGACUGAGACACGGCCCAGACUCCUACGGGAGGAAGCAAUGGGGAAUAUUGGACAAUGGGCGAGAGCCUGAUCCAGCAAUGCCGCGUGAGUGAUGAAGGCGUUAGGGUUGUAAAGCUCUUUUAACCGGGAUGAUAAUGACAGUACCGGGAGAAUAAGCUCCGGCUAACUCCGUG
RNAcentral lists this ribosomal RNA (433 nucleotides) under uncultured bacterium. Its description in RNAcentral is "partial 16S ribosomal RNA". It matches the Rfam family "Bacterial small subunit ribosomal RNA", at positions 29 to 507 of the family's 1533-position model. The record is from RNAcentral.